This 412-nucleotide long non-coding RNA is filed under the name Helianthus annuus (common sunflower). The record is from RNAcentral. Lineage: Eukaryota; Viridiplantae; Streptophyta; Magnoliopsida; Asterales; Asteraceae.
AAUCGUCGGGGAGUGUUGUAACAGAAUCAUUGUUUCACAACCAUGGAUUAAACAAAUUUCGUUUUAUUGAAUUAAAUGAGUUACAAUGUCUUAACAAUAAAGAAACAUAACAAAAUUAACUAGUCUUGCAUCUUUUAAUGUCACUAAGGCCUCGUCCAAUCCUAUGUGAGCAGACAUCAAUAUCAUCAUCAAAUAUCAUCAACUAUUAUUCAUGGCUCGUUUUACAUGUUGCAAUGCUUAUUUAAAAACCUUAUUUUGAAAAGUACAGCAUUGCGACAUAAUUAACCAACUCAAAUCAAGUUGAUUAUAAUUUAUAAAAUUUCAUAGCCAUGCUUCUUAACUCCAAAGACUUUAUUUAAUUAAACCCAGAUUGGAAAUCAUUUUUGAAAUAAAAACUCUAAUAGUAUAUAUA